Molecule: ribosomal RNA, 505 nt
Filed under: Priestia paraflexa
Lineage: Bacteria; Bacillati; Bacillota; Bacilli; Caryophanales; Bacillaceae
Description: bacterial SSU rRNA
Rfam family: Bacterial small subunit ribosomal RNA
Source: RNAcentral
CGGGCGGGGUGCUAUACAUGCAGUCGAGCGAACUGCAUUAGAAGCUUGCUUCUAUGACGUUAGCGGCGGACGGGUGAGUAACACGUGGGCAACCUGCCUGUAAGACUGGGAUAACUCCGGGAAACCGGAGCUAAUACCGGAUAACAUUUUCUCUUGCAUAAGAGAAAAUUGAAAGAUGGUUUCGGCUAUCACUUACAGAUGGGCCCGCGGUGCAUUAGCUAGUUGGUGAGGUAACGGCUCACCAAGGCAACGAUGCAUAGCCGACCUGAGAGGGUGAUCGGCCACACUGGGACUGAGACACGGCCCAGACUCCUACGGGAGGCAGCAGUAGGGAAUCUUCCGCAAUGGACGAAAGUCUGACGGAGCAACGCCGCGUGAGUGAUGAAGGCUUUCGGGUCGUAAAACUCUGUUGUUAGGGAAGAACAAGUACAAGAGUAACUGCUUGUACCUUGACGGUACCUAACCAGAAAGCCACGGCUAACUACGUGCCAGCAGCCGCGGUAAU